Molecule: long non-coding RNA, 210 nt
Filed under: Homo sapiens (human)
Lineage: Eukaryota; Metazoa; Chordata; Mammalia; Primates; Hominidae
Description: non-protein coding lnc-RNASEH1-7:1
Source: RNAcentral
AACUCAGUGGUGGCCACUGCGCAGACCAGACUUCUCUCGUUCUCGCACGCCUCGCUCCGCUUUUCCUCCACAACCAUGUCUGACAAACCCGAUAUGGCUGAGAUCGAGAAAUUCGAUAAGUCGAAACUGAAGAAGACAGAGACUCAAGAGAAAAAUCCACUGCCUUCCAAAGAAACGACUGAACAGGAGAAGCAAGCAGGCAAAUCGUAG